Lactuca sativa (garden lettuce) is the source of this 1643-nucleotide non-coding RNA. NCBI's taxonomy places the organism in Eukaryota, Viridiplantae, Streptophyta, Magnoliopsida, Asterales, Asteraceae. The record is from RefSeq and is a predicted model, not a curated record.
UUGUAUAUAUAGAAUAUAUGUUUGAUCUGUAAUCUUGGUGAUUAGGAUUAGAUGUUUACUUAGAUAUGUAUACAUCCCUUAAUUAGUGGGAUUUCAGUUAUUGUAAUUGUAUAUAAUCAAAAUUAGGGUAAAACCCUAAUGUUGGUCUUGGUGGCCAUCUUUGUGACCUCGUUCUCUUAGUGAGAACAUUCUUUCUUAGUGAAAGCAUCUUUGUGAUUAUCUUUAUUCUUUGUUCUUUUCUUGUUCUUCAUUAUUCACUUGAGUGUAUCCGAUCGUUACAAACCAUCAAUUGGUAUCAGAGUGGGUUUUUUAUACAAUCAAGAUUCAAAAGUUCAAGGUUUCUUCAGAAACUCGAAAAACUAGAAGAAGAAGAAGAAGAAGAAGAAGAUGAUGAUGAUGAUGAAAAGAGUUCAUACAUGUUUAAACAUUUGAAGCUAAUAUCUCUUUAUCUUAUCAGAAAUUUUCGAUAGUAAGGUUAUAAAUUUCAAUCUAAGAUCUAUUGAAGAUUUAAAAGUUCAAACCCUAUUCAGAACCUCGAAAAUCAAAAGGAAAAGAAGAAGAAGAGCUCAAUCAGAAGAUAUAGGUUUCAAAAGGUACAUCUACUGAUUCUGAAUAGAAGCCUUCAAGUGAAAUUGGAAAAAUUCAUUGGAAACAAAAAUCUCCAGAAAAGGAAGAGAAGUGUUCUGAAACUCCAAGCUAGAUGUUCUAAUCAGAUCCGAAAUAUUCAGAUGCGAGGUAUGGUCCAAAACCCAGACUCAAAUGGGUUCCUAAGGUUGUUUCUUAAUUAUUUUAGGAUGUGAGAGAGUCUGAUUUUUAAAAUAAUCCACAUUAGUUGUGUUUCUCACCGAAGAAAGGUUGUGUCUAUGGUUUUGGUGCCCAUGUUAAAUGUUUUGUGCAAGUUUUGUUUUUGUUUAAUGUUUUCUCAUUAGAUUUGACAUUUCUUUUGGUCAAGGUUUUGCUUGUAUGUAUUAUUAUGUGAAGUCUUUGUCAAAGAACAGGUUUUGCAUUUUUCAAGUGGCUUUAGUCAAAUAAGAUGUGCAAAAGUAAGAAGGAAGAUUGAAGCUGAUGAGACUCUCUCGCUGAUGUGCUUUAUGCUUGGGUUUUCACGCUGAUAUAGAUUCUCGCUGAUCCUCCAUUUAAAGCCUCUCAAGCUAAUGCUCCAAGAAUUCUCAUGUUGGUAUACUUCAUUUGAGGUCAUUGUAUUUCGUCUUGUGUUGGUGCACUCAUUUAUUGAUUGGUCUUUCACUGAACCAAUGAAAAGAAAUGCUUGCAAAGUGACAAAAAUAGUAUGAUUUUCAUGCUGAUGCGCAUGAUGAUUAAUCUCACACGCUGUUGACAACAGAAAAAGAUGUACAGGGGCAGUUUGAUCAAGCAAGUUUCAAAGUAGUCAUUAAUGUGGAAACAUGGUGAUCAGUUGGUCAAGUUUUCUGAAAAAGGUUAGCUUGGUCAGGUAUUCGUGACAAGAAAGUGGCAACUCCAAUGUUCGUGGAAUCAGCAAAAGCAUGCACAGGGUAUUUUGGUCAGAGCAUCAUUACAAGUUGUAUAUGGUGAUCUGCAUAAAUGUAUCUCUCUUUCACGUGAUGUUUUAUAGAAGAAUAUUAGCCACGAUUAACUAUUUUAAUAUAAUUGAUAUUGGUAGUUCA